UUUUUUAUUAAAGCCGGUAUUAACCUUUACUCGUCCUUGGCGUGAGACAUAAGCCAUAUAAUUAUCGAUUAUUUUAUAUUCUAUCACCUGUGUAUUGUAAAAAAUAAAUCAAACCAUUAUCACUUGUCAAUUAUCCGACAACUUGGUCAAAUAUCAACUUGUUCUCGCAUACCGGACUCUUUUGAUACACUCGGGCUUUUACUUAUUCAAUAAUAAACAGUUGUAAAUAUCGUACAUUGUAAAAACUAGUGUGGGAAAAUGUUCAUUCAUGAAAUAUUCAUGAAUGAAACGCUGUCUCGCGUAGAUUUCUUUUGAUUUUCUCUUCAGCCAAUGGCUGAUCCGCAAAGUAGUGUUUGUGAUACUUAUUUUCAAAAUGAAGUUAAAUUCAUCUGAAUUGUCGGUGAACAUUCAUUCCUUUUUUAUUCAAGCUGUAAUCUUUUCAAAACAGUAGCAACUCAAAAUAUCCAAGAGUUAGAAUUCGAACACUAGUACUACAUUAUCUUGGAGCAGAACAUUGCGAUAGUCUGUCUCA
RNAcentral lists this long non-coding RNA (532 nucleotides) under Mytilus galloprovincialis (Mediterranean mussel). Lineage: Eukaryota; Metazoa; Mollusca; Bivalvia; Mytilida; Mytilidae. The record is from RNAcentral.